Molecule: long non-coding RNA, 218 nt
Organism: Vespa mandarinia (Asian giant hornet)
Lineage: Eukaryota; Metazoa; Arthropoda; Insecta; Hymenoptera; Vespidae
Source: RefSeq, a predicted model, not a curated record
CCCGGUACUCUUGGAGCGGCAAAGGCACUGAGAUCCAAGUCCAUCAAUGGAAAGUCAACCAUUACGUUCAGCUUGCCACGAAAUCGUUCCAUCGGCGAAAAGCGUUUCAAAUCUAUCCGUAAAAUAUUAGGUUAAGAUCGCGUAAAAUUAGAAGAUAAGCCUCGAGGAACUUUUGAUUCGUCCUGGUAAUAUCCAAGAAAAAAGAAAAAAAAAAGAAA